Non-coding RNA from Notechis scutatus (mainland tiger snake), 1969 nucleotides. NCBI's taxonomy places the organism in Eukaryota, Metazoa, Chordata, Lepidosauria, Squamata, Elapidae. The record is from RefSeq and is a predicted model, not a curated record.
UGAUUUCUUUUUAGUAGACCUACCACCAUGUCUACUUCUUUGCUUCUUAUAGGAGUUCUCUGCAUUUUAGGAGCAAAUAGUUUUGCCUCAGUAGGGAAAGCAAGGGUGACCCGAGAACCUAACGCUCCAGAGCCCAUUGACUGCUCGCUGACUGCCUGGACUGAUUGGGGGCCAUGUAAUCCAUGCUCAGAAGAAAGUCACCGCUCAAGGAGUAUUGAGAAGUUUGGACAGUUUGGAGGAAAGCCAUGCAUUGUGUCUCUGAGUGAUAGACAGCACUGUGAGCCAAAAAGUCCCUGUCCAGAUGAGAGAGGUCAAUGUAAGGAUCAAGAGUUUGAAUGUGAAAAUGGAUAUUGUCUAAAGAAUAGGCUGGUAUGUAACACAGAAAAUGACUGUGGUGACUUCUCUGAUGAAGAUAAUUGUGACGAAACCAAACGCCCACCUUGUGGGGAUCGUGACAUUGACGUAUCAGAACUUGGAAGAACAGCUGGACAAGGUGUGAAUGUGCUGGGAAUGACACCAGCUCAAACUGCAUUUCAAAAUGAAUUCUACAACGGCAUUUGCGACAGAGUCCGUGAUGGGAACUCAGCCACUUAUUACCGCAAGCCAUGGAAUCUGGCUGUCCUCAAUUAUGAUACAAGAGGAGACAAACACUUUACAAGUGAAUUCUACAGUGACCAAACAUCAACUGUGAAAGAAAUAUUCAGUACAAAAUCACUGUCUUUUGGUGUGAACCUUUCUGUUAAACUGAAACCAACUGAGUCCAAUGUAUCAGCUACUAUUGGGGGAGGCUUCAAUUUUGGCAAAUCAUCCAACAUGAGCGAAUUCUUGAAAAAAGCCAAAGGAACGAGUACCAUCUAUUUACAUGUCAAAUCUAAUAUACAACUAGGAACUUUCCAAAUGCGAAAACGUGAUUUGCGCUUGAGUGAUACAUUCCUGGAAGAAAUAAAGGUUUUGCCAAGUACCUAUGAGAAGGGAGAGUAUUUUAAAUUUCUUGAAACAUAUGGAACUCAUUAUUCACAGAGAGGGAUCGUUGGAGGAAAAUAUGAGCUAAUGUAUGUAUUGGACAACCAAACUCUUUCAUCACAAGGGCUCACUGCAGAGGAUGUAAACUCAUGCCUAGGCUUUAAUUUAGGAGCUACCAUCACCGUAAAAGACCUUGCAGAAGCUACAGCCGAUUUUAAAGCUCAACAAUGUAAAACCAGUGGAUUUAAAAAUGCUGUUGAAAUGAGACAGAGUGGGGUUGUCCGAGAUGUAGUCUCUAUGGUUCAAGGUGGGACAACAGCUACCUUAACAAAGUUGAAUGAAUUGCUUUCAUCAAAUGUCAAUCUAAUUGAUGCAGAACACUAUUUCGAAUGGGCUGCUACACUACCUCAAGCUCCUGGAGUGAUAAGACAAGAGCUAACCCCGAUUUCGGAACUUGUACCGCUGAAAAUCCCAGACUCCCGAAUAAAGAAAGUAAAUCUGGACAGAGCUGUAGAGGAUUAUGUGGCUGAAUACAGCGCAUGCAAAUGCAAACCUUGUCUACAUGGUGGGACGGCGAUGCUGAUAGAAGGGAAGUGUGAAUGUGCCUGCAAUCCAUUUUACAAGGGAGAUGCCUGUGAAAUACCCAAGUCACGUUUCAUACCAGUUCAAACUGUCAUUGAUGGGAACUGGAACUGCUGGUCUAGCUGGUCCAUGUGUCAGAAUAGAGAACGUCAGCGGACAAGACAGUGUAAUAAUCCUGCACCUGGAUCUGAUGGCAAAUCAUGUCCUGGAACAAGUGUAGAACAGGGCCAUUGUUGAUUACAGAAGACUACCAACAGUACAGAAAACAAACACAUUUAUGGAUAUUAAGGCAACCUGAACGUCCCUGUCAGAUAGAUCUACGGAUCAAGAGUCUUGUCACCAGAUUGAAUUAAAAGCUAUUGAUCUCUGGAUUUCAGAGCACCACUUUGUAUUACCCAAUAAAUUUGAUGGCUUGCAAAAUGCA